UUUCUUUGCGCCGACCUCAGAGCAAGUG
This 28-nucleotide ribosomal RNA is filed under the name Phaon iridipennis. Its description in RNAcentral is "partial 28S ribosomal RNA". Lineage: Eukaryota; Metazoa; Arthropoda; Insecta; Odonata; Calopterygidae. The record is from RNAcentral.